CUCUGCCGGCCCGCCGCUGAAGCCGCCACUGCCGACGGCCCUAUCCGCGGCGCCUCCUGCCCCACCGCGAGCGUCCUCAGCGGGCCCGCCGUCCUCAGCGCGCAGGCGGGCCGCCCCUCCGAUAUUAUGCGUCUCCGCUCGACCAUCGGCUCACGUUCACCUCUUGCUGCCCUGGGACACGGAGAUGCGCUGGCCGCAGACGCCAACUUCUUGAUGCCCUGUCUCUCUGCGCCCUCCAGUUCCUCGAUGAGGGAAAAUUCCAAGUCGCGGGUCUCUCCACUGAUGAGUUUUUUUUUUUCCCAUUUUGCAAUAAGUUUUUUUGUUCCCUGUGUGCCAUGUCUCUCUGCGCCCUCCAGUUCCUCGAUGAGGGAAAAUUCCAAGUCGCGGGUCUUUCCACUGAUGAGUUUUUUUUUUCCCAUUUUGCAAUAAGUUUUUUUGUUCCCUGUGUGCCAUUGGUCCGCUGUGUGGUCUGGAUUGCAGGGAAGGAGAGCGCGGCCAGGAAUCUAGGUGAUAAGGAGUGAUGAGAAAUUACGUCAAGCACCUAUGGUGGCUGGUGUGGUGCCUCAUGCAAGCUGCUUUUUCAUCACGUUGAAGAUCAGAUCGAUCCGGCUCAAGUGGUGCCUCAGUCUACAAGUGAAUUUUUUUUUGGAUGGUAAUAAUGGCAUUCUUCUAGAUCAGUUAAUGUAAAUGAAAUAUGUAUGAGUUGUUCAAAAAGAUAAGCAGUGAAGUGGUUGAUGAUGGCUUGAUUAAUAAGGUGCUCCAGUUCUUCAUGAGGAGAUGAUUCAUUUUAGGGUGCUUAAUGUUUCUUAGUUGAAGAUCGAAUAGACCGGGAGUUUACUUAGUUAUUUAUUACUGAUUUGUUAGUUCUCAAAUUUCUUUAAUAACAAAUUCCUUCCUACUUGUGUUUUUUUGUUGGGCCUAUCUUGCCAAUCAGAUGUAAAAAUUAUAUAUUAGUAUAUUAAACUUGAAACUUUAAGUUGCAAGUGCCCA
Setaria italica (foxtail millet) is the source of this 990-nucleotide long non-coding RNA. RefSeq lists it as uncharacterized. NCBI's taxonomy places the organism in Eukaryota, Viridiplantae, Streptophyta, Magnoliopsida, Poales, Poaceae. The record is from RefSeq and is a predicted model, not a curated record. The transcript has 5 exons.